This 200-nucleotide unclassified non-coding RNA is filed under the name Marquandomyces marquandii. RNAcentral's name for it is "partial contains small subunit ribosomal RNA, internal transcribed spacer 1, and 5.8S ribosomal RNA". Lineage: Eukaryota; Fungi; Ascomycota; Sordariomycetes; Hypocreales; Clavicipitaceae. The record is from RNAcentral. RNAcentral also lists the same sequence under 1 other name.
UCUCCGUUGGUGAACCAGCGGAGGGAUCAUUACCGAGUUUUCAACUCCCAAACCCACUGUGAACAUAUACCUUUGUUUUCGUUGCCUCGGCGGUUCGCGCCGCCGGGUGACACCUAAACCCUGAUUUAAUUACAGAAGUCUUUCUGAGUAAAAACAUUCUAAAUGAAUCAAAACUUUCAACAACGGAUCUCUUGGUUCUG